GCAAGUCGAGCGGAAACGGAGAUAGCUUGCUAUCAGACGUCGAGCGGCGGUCGGGUGAGUAAUGCCUAUAUAUCUGCCUAAUCGUGGGGGAUAACAGUUGGAAACGACUGCUAAUACCGCAUACGCCCUACGGGGGAAAGGAGGGGACCGUCGGGCCUUUCGCGAUUAGAUGAGUCUAGGUGGGAUUAGCUAGUGGGUGAGGUAAUGGCUCACCUAGGCGACGAUCCCUAGCUGGUCUGAGAGGAUGAGC
RNAcentral lists this ribosomal RNA (250 nucleotides) under uncultured bacterium. Its description in RNAcentral is "partial 16S ribosomal RNA". It matches the Rfam family "Bacterial small subunit ribosomal RNA", at positions 57 to 305 of the family's 1533-position model. The record is from RNAcentral.